UAUGUUUUCUGUCAAAACUUUGUAUAUCAUUUCAACAGGGGAUUAACAAUGUUUAUUUUAUUAAUUACAAUCAAGAAUUUGGUUAAAAAUUGCUUCGACAAAGAGUUGAAGAGUCAAAGUUGAAGAAUUUCCUCCUUUAUUGUAUACAAUUUGUUGUGUUAAAGAUACAAGAUAAUUAAACUUCGUAGUCAUUUUAGUGUUAUGCUAAAACAUGAAAUUGCGAACGUUUAAAGAGAAAGAUGAAGAAAAAGAUUCCUGGUGGAGUUGAAACUUGCCAAGGUGAAAUGAAGUUUUAUACCGUUUCGAGGGGGGUAAAACAAAGUUCGUCACGGGGCAUAACCUGCAAAAUGUCAAUAAGCGGAUGUAGAUAAAAGUUGCGCAACUUCAUGAAUUAUGUAGACUAGGUCCGGGAUGAGGCUAAGAAUGAAACCAAAAAGAAAAAGAAGAGAAAAAGAUCAAAAAGGUGUUUUAAAUCUUCAUAAAUUAAGUUAAUACGAAACGAAAAUUGUUAAGAUUUAGAAUAAAAAUUGUUUUUUUUUUACUUCACCAUUGAUGUGAUCGAAAUUGGGUCCCAUUUAGGUAACUGAAAGAUAAAUAAUAUACAAGGCACCCUCGUCACAGUUCGAAUAGAAUCCUUUAAAUCAUUCAAAAAGUUCGUCUCGAGGACACAAAUUCGAAUGUAGAUGGACACUCUCACCUUCAAUAACAUUAAGCAUACAUUUUUUGCGAAUAAAUUAUUUGAAAAGGGUGAUCAAAACUGAUCGGGGGGUAAAAACGUUUUAAUAUUUUCGUAGGCAUAUCACAUACGAGCCGAAACGUUUGCAUUAUUCAUUCAGGUCGAGGGGCGAAUUAAAAUUGCCCGGCAAUAAAGUAGUUUACGACCAGAACGAUAUCGUCAUCAAAAUGUUUCGAUGGAAAAAUGCUUAAAACACAUCAAAUUGAAAAUAAAAAAAAGUUUUAUCUAUUAUGUCAUAAUUGUUAUAUGAUCUAAAAUUAAUAAAAUCAAUCGACUCAC
Molecule: long non-coding RNA, 1015 nt
Organism: Onthophagus taurus
Lineage: Eukaryota; Metazoa; Arthropoda; Insecta; Coleoptera; Scarabaeidae
Source: RefSeq, a predicted model, not a curated record